Long non-coding RNA from Mesocricetus auratus (golden hamster), 1200 nucleotides. RefSeq lists it as uncharacterized. NCBI's taxonomy places the organism in Eukaryota, Metazoa, Chordata, Mammalia, Rodentia, Cricetidae. The record is from RefSeq and is a predicted model, not a curated record. The transcript has 2 exons.
CCUGCCUCUGCCUCUGCUUCCAGAGUGCUGGGAUUAAAGACCUGUUACACCUACACCUGUCCCUGACCUGUCUUCAGCCACCUAGCCACCAACUUGAAUUGAGAAUGGGGACAGGAUGACUCGGGCAGGGCACUGGCCGGGCCUGCAUGCUGCACCCCAGACCUCAGAGCACGGACUCCGCGUGGACCAAGGCCAGGCUCUUGCCCUCUGCAUUCACUUAGCAGCUGCAGCUGCGCAGGACCAUGAGCUGGAGCUGGAAGUCAACACAAGCACGGAGGAGCCGGCCCCGCACGUCCAGCAAAGGCGCUGAGGGACUGCACUGCUAUGGGCACAGCUGGCUCCCCACGGGAGAGAGGAAGCCACCAACCCAGGGGGCCUGAGACAAGAGGAAUAGGCAGCCAAACACUUGCCUGCCACGCCUGCUGGAGGGCCCGAACCUGCUGCUGCAUUUCUUCCACCUGCCUGCGCCCGGCCACAACAGCAUCAGCUAGUUCCUGGUUCCUGGCCUCCUGCUUCCGCACUCGGCGACACAGGGUGUCCCGUUGCUGCAGGAAGUAGGGUGCCAUGACACUGCACAGGUCUUUCUCUGGGAUUCCACUGGGUCGCCUGAGGGAGAAGGGCGGCACAGGGAGGGAGGAAUGUUAAGUACAGGAGGCUUCUACUGCUAAGCCCAACCAGUAACAGCCCUACUCAAGUUGGCUAGGACUCUUCUGGGUCCCUUCUACCUCCCAAACCUGCUCCUGAUGGGAACUGUGGCUUCCUGACCCUCAGCCUCCUUGCUACAGGCCACCCCCAGGUCUCCUCACUCAGCUUCCCCAUGAAAUCUGCUCUUCCAAUCACCCAUCUCAAGCGGCCUAGAAGUCAGUGGCUCUGCAGACCUUGCCUCUGUCCUUAAGACCAUGUGUCCACGCUGGCGCAUCACCCCAGCAGACUGAGUUAGGGAGAUCAGAGUGAUCUUUCCCAGAUUGGGUGGCUCCUCAGAGAGGUCGCUGCCUCUCAGGAGCCCCGUGAGAGCUAUUAAGUAUAGACAGAUCAGGGAAGGUGUUUUAGGGAAUAAGAUUAGUCAGUGAGCAAACACUACUGUAGGUUCUUCUACAAAUUCCUUUCUAGUUAUAAAACUUCAGCUGUCCUCUGACCCCUACACAUGCCCUGUGGCAUACACCCCCAAAGAAUAAAUAAAUAAAUGUAAUUUUAAAAUUU